AACGUCAACCCCAUACUUUCUGCAAGCUGCUCUAAUUUGUGCAAGCAACAGCUCUGGGCUUGAAAGUGACCCCUGAGGCUGAAGCUUAUCUGACAGGUCCAUUCCAGGUAAAAUCAUUUUACAUGAAUUCCUUGCAAACAUCUCAGCAACCGCCCCGUAGCCAUCUCUGUUUUCUGUGUUAUAAAUCCCAGCCGUCAGCUCAGACGGGUGAGUGCGGGUUUUGUACCAAUGGUGCAUGAGUGGGACUUUACCAUAAAUUGUCACGGUAGUGUCACCAAACUCAGUGGAGGCAAGGGAAAGGAGGCGAUUUCCAUGAGACAAAAGCUGACUUGAAUACCAGGAAAGGAAGAAGUUGCCAUAAGGAGACUCCCAUGAUCCUCCAUGAUCCUUGAAGAAGCUGUUAAAGUUUGGCAACUGGUUAUAACUGGGGGCAUCAUGGGGACCACCAAGUCCCCAUAAAGGAUUUCCCAUUGCCUCAGCAUGUUGCUUUAGAAGGUUAAGCAUAUUUUUGUCAUAACAUUGGAACUCCCCAACUCCAUGGAUUUUGCCACUUUUAACUACCCCACGA
Molecule: unclassified non-coding RNA, 568 nt
Filed under: Hevea brasiliensis (rubber tree)
Lineage: Eukaryota; Viridiplantae; Streptophyta; Magnoliopsida; Malpighiales; Euphorbiaceae
Source: RNAcentral